Hibiscus syriacus is the source of this 141-nucleotide long non-coding RNA. RefSeq lists it as uncharacterized. The transcript is spliced from 3 exons. The record is from RefSeq and is a predicted model, not a curated record. NCBI's taxonomy places the organism in Eukaryota, Viridiplantae, Streptophyta, Magnoliopsida, Malvales, Malvaceae.
UUUCUUUCGGAGAAUCCUUGUUAACUCACUGCGUUUACUCAGAAAGUAAGACCCUUUUUCUCUCUCCUCUUCAUUUUGUCGUUGUUUUCUGUUUCUUUGAUUGGAUUUUUUCUUCCUUUUGGCUUUUACUUUUAAUUAGGU